RNAcentral lists this small RNA (569 nucleotides) under Pongo abelii (Sumatran orangutan). Its description in RNAcentral is "processed transcript". The record is from RNAcentral. Lineage: Eukaryota; Metazoa; Chordata; Mammalia; Primates; Hominidae.
AAUAAAGUAUAGGCUAGAAAUGAAUAAACUGAAGUUUCUAAAUAUUUUCUUUCUGUACCACAGUGCACCCUACUUAGGAGUUGGCUGGACCAGAACAGGGAAGGCAGAGGAAUAGUUUCAGCAGCACAAAUGCUGCGGGAGCCCAGGUGGAGGCCCUUAAUCUCACCUGAAGAGGUCAAGGCUGGCGUCGCAGAGGAGGGAGCGCUCAUCCUGGAUUUUGAAGAAUGAACUGAAUUUUAUCAGGUCACCAGCUGCCAUAAAGAGAACGUAACACACCAACAAUGGAGAGAAGUCUGGAAUGGAUAGAGAUCUGAGAUUUUUCACCCAGUUGGAAAAUGGUACAGCAGGAGUGGCUGACAUGGCCCAGGGGUUGUAUGUAGAAUCACAAUGAUAGGAAAAGGGCAGUUCUGCUCUUGCCUUACCACGUGAUCCUGGAGAGUGUCACCUGUCCCUCAGGUUCUCGUUUAUGACAGAAGGUGGCGCCAGGUGUGAUAAUUCAAGCAUCCCUUUUAACACUCAUGUAAUCAUGUAAUGCUGCCAAUAAACACUGCCACAAGGAUCUGUUUUAC